GAGUUUGAUCCUGGCUCAGGAUGAACGCUGGCGGCGUGCUUAACACAUGCAAGUCGAACGAAGCACUUUAUUUGAUUUCCUUCGGGACUGAUUAUUUUGUGACUGAGUGGCGGACGGGUGAGUAACGCGUGGGUAACCUGCCUUGUACAGGGGGAUAACAGUUGGAAACGGCUGCUAAUACCGCAUAAGCGCACAGCAUCGCAUGAUGCAGUGUGAAAAACUCCGGUGGUAUAAGAUGGACCCGCGUUGGAUUAGCUAGUUGGUGAGGUAACGGCCCACCAAGGCGACGAUCCAUAGCCGGCCUGAGAGGGUGAACGGCCACAUUGGGACUGAGACACGGCCCAGACUCCUACGGGAGGCAGCAGUGGGGAAUAUUGCACAAUGGGGGAAACCCUGAUGCAGCGACGCCGCGUGGAGGAAGAAGGUCUUCGGAUUGUAAACUCCUGUUGUUGGGGAAGAUAAUGACGGUACCCAACAAGGAAGUGACGGCUAACUACGUGCCAGCCGCCGCGGUAAUUC
Molecule: ribosomal RNA, 519 nt
Filed under: uncultured bacterium
Lineage: Bacteria
Description: bacterial SSU rRNA
Rfam family: Bacterial small subunit ribosomal RNA
Source: RNAcentral